This 472-nucleotide ribosomal RNA is filed under the name uncultured organism. RNAcentral describes it as "partial 16S ribosomal RNA". It matches the Rfam family "Bacterial small subunit ribosomal RNA", at positions 333 to 797 of the family's 1533-position model. The record is from RNAcentral.
ACACUCCUACGGGAGGCAGCAGUAGGGAAUCUUCGGCAAUGGGGGCAACCCUGACCGAGCAACGCCGCGUGAGUGAAGAAGGUUUUCGGAUCGUAAAGCUCUGUUGUAAGUCAAGAACGAGUGUGAGAGUGGAAAGUUCACACUGUGACGGUAGCUUACCAGAAAGGGACGGCUAACUACGUGCCAGCAGCCGCGGUAAUACGUAGGUCCCGAGCGUUGUCCGGAUUUAUUGGGCGUAAAGCGAGCGCAGGCGGUUUGAUAAGUCUGAAGUUAAAGGCUGUGGCUCAACCAUAGUUCGCUUUGGAAACUGUCAAACUUGAGUGCAGAAGGGGAGAGUGGAAUUCCAUGUGUAGCGGUGAAAUGCGUAGAUAUAUGGAGGAACACCGGUGGCGAAAGCGGCUCUCUGGUCUGUAACUGACGCUGAGGCUCGAAAGCGUGGGGAGCGAACAGGAUUAGAAACCCCUGUAGUCCC